GGCCGUUUCUCAAUACCUAAGACGGCGAGAACGGACUCGCGUUCCCGCGAGAAUAGACUCGGGAGACAGACUCGGGAGUCCUGACUCACGGGUACGGGAGAACGGACAUUUCCGCAAUUGAACAGCAGCUGACUUGAUGACGUCACCACAGUAGGCGGUCUUUGUUUACGCACGCAAGUAUCUCAUCUGCCAUCGCAGCUUGCUGAGGUGAAAAGCAUUCUGGGAUAUGUGUCUCUCACAAGAACAGACGAGCCUGCUUCGAUGCAUGCCCGGUAAAAUGGGCGGGGCGAGUCACAUCUGGGUAUUAUGACCGUUCUCGGCCAGAUGCGGACUUGAGAAUUGGAACAGUACUCGGGCUGUGACUGAUGACGUUUCACGAGUCCACGAGAACAAAAGUCCACACAAGAACGCAUAUUGAGAAACGGCCACUGUCUCCCGAGUCUAUUCUCGCGGGAACGCAAGGACAACUUAAUAAAAGGUUCUUCGAUUGAUUCGUUUCCUCCUGAUAACAGCAUCCAGACUAGAGCUUCUGAUACGAGAAUUGUGACUGGCUGGUUUUUUGAAUUCUUUAAAACUACCCGCUGCAAGCACCUCCUCCUCCUUGACGUUCGUCACAGAUGCCGAGGAAGGGGAAGAGAUCCCAGGCCCUGAAACUGCGUUAGACAAUACUGAAUCGGAUGAGUCAAUCAACUUUAAACCAACAGUGCGGAAAUGGGCUUCUAUAGUUGUGUGGAUGCAUCACUCCAGCCAAUCCAAAGACGGGGUUUGUAACCAAUCAGGUGUAGAGACCAUGGUGACUGGCUCCGCCCCCUUAAUGUCAGAAAGAACAACAGCGAGCGCGUAGAAAACUCCUUCGAGCGCGAGCAGAGACUAACCUCAACCUCAAGAAUCUCUUCUCUCGCACAGAGACCGUGACACCGAGGAGCAGCUCCGCUCAUUUUGCCCACUUUCACCUCAUACUUACAAAACCAGUCGGAUUAUAUUUUCUUUUAGAUAAAACAGGCAUUUUUCAAUAUUUUUACGACUUCCUCAAUGCUACGCGGCGAGGCCUACCAAACAAGAUGAGCCUGUGCUAAAGGUAAUUAGCAGAAGAUGCCUCCCUUCUCUACGGAAGAUUACCACAAACUCGUACAGAAGAUUUUACUGCUGGAAACAAAAGUUAAUCGGUUAGAGGUAAAUGUAGAAGUAAACGGACCAUGUGGGAACAACACCACUCUAGCAAUGACUCAAAACAGUGGACAAGAGCAUGCUAGAACCCAGCUAACUAGCAAUGAUGGAACUAUGAAGAAACUGGAGGACUCUGUACAGGGUAAUAAACCAGCGACAAUCCUCCCUGGACCACACUUGGUGCAAAGCCAAAGAGAAGACCAGACAAGGGAGAACGGAUAACUGGCAGGAUGCCGCAGCGGCCCGAUAUCUGUGAUCUGGCCGACUGGCCUGCGUUACCAUCCAGGCAUAACUCCUCCUCAACGUAGAACAAAGCAGCGGACAACUGAGAAGAGGGGAACUACCUAGAAAACUCCCCAGCAAACAGGUGUAAAUCUACAAAACAGGUUUGCUCCACUGUUGCAGGACCAUGGAUCCCCCUCUAAAUUUCUGGAUAACCCUCCACCACCAUGCAGCAGGGUAAGACCUGCUAACUUAAAGCCACAGAGAAAGCUAACGACAGGGCCUGAAAAUCUGAUUGUGGGUGAUUUUUCUGUAAAAGAUAUGAAAAGUAGUAACGACACCAAAGUACUCUGCUUCCCGGAGGAUAUGGUGUCUGACUUGGAAGAAAGAAUUUUGGAAAUUGUGGCUGAACACCCAACUGUGAAAAACCUAAUUCUGCACAUUGGCUCCAAUGACAUUGAAAAACAACAAUCAUAAAAGUUAAAAGAGCACUUCGAUAAUCUCCUAGAAACAGUCAGCUCUGUG
Long non-coding RNA from Gasterosteus aculeatus aculeatus (three-spined stickleback), 1914 nucleotides. NCBI's taxonomy places the organism in Eukaryota, Metazoa, Chordata, Actinopteri, Perciformes, Gasterosteidae. The record is from Ensembl.